AUGGAGGUACGAUUUGUCCUUGGUCUCCCUCCUGCUUGUCCCUCCUGUGAUGUGACUUUGGCAAGUUCUCUGUCCUCACAAGCCUCUGCCUUACGUCCCAUCUCCUUUAGCUGGCCCUGGUCCCUGGCUCCCGACUCUCACCCGUCCCCUGCCACCCCAGCUCCAACAGGGAUCCGCGGGCUAACAGAGGACCCCUCCUCCUGUGGGGCCCUUGGUUCCCUGAUGAAGACUUCAUCUUGGCCACAAAAGGGAUGUGGUAACUCAAGUGCUUCAGAGCAUGGGUGGUUUGGAGUCCUGGAAAGAAGUGAGCUGAGAAAGGCAACUGAUGGUAUUCAGGGGCAGGCUGGGCCAUUAGUCACAGUGGGAACCCCCGCUCCUCGCCCCACCUCACUUCCUCUCCUCCCCAGCUUUGUGAAUUGGUUGAUUAGGAUGCAAAAUGUCCUCUGGUGGGAGAGGGGCAUGGGUUCAGAUCUCAAACUGAUAUCAGAGGGAUGUUGUUCACAACUGCCAAAGCCCUGCUGGCCCUGGGCAUCUGAAAUCACCCGCCAAAGGGGGCUUCCUGCUGUCUCUUAUUGGAGCCUAGCCAUGGUGUUCCUGCUCCUUAUGAGCGCUGUUCUUACACUCGACAUGGCUUGACUGUCCCCUUUGGUCUCCUCACCACUACGGGGAUGGGAAGUGAGAGGACAAGGCCAAACCCUUCUCUGUGCUGGGAGAGGGGAGGAAUGUAACAUCAGGUCCACAGGGGUUGACUUGAGGUCUGGCAGAGCCAUCAGAGCCCAGGCGGCCUGGCUCCCAGUUGCGUCUGCCAGCUCAUGGGUGCCUCUGAUGCUCCCUGAGGAUUCAGAGAGUGCUGGAGGACAGCUCGUCUCAGAAAGCAGCCUCACAAGACAUUACCGGUGACCUGGACUAGGGGCGGGGCCAGAGGUGAGAGGGGGAAAUGGAGUGAAGAAGUAGCAAGAGAAAAACUGAUCUCCCCAUGGUUCCCCCACCCCCCAAAUGCCUCAGUUAGGUCUUUGAGAUGAGAAAACAGCCACCGAAUUCUUUGGGCUCUCUGCUAGGAUCUUCCUUUUGAAUGCAAAGGAGAGACUGAGAGCUCGCUGCAGAGUCAAACGUGGGAUCUCCAUCUCAAUGCCCAGAGACAAAGGGCCAAAAAAUGUGAGGAAUUUCCAGAGCGCCUCCUUCAAACAGCAUCUCCCCCAGCCUCUGGCUCAGCUCCAUGGGCGCUGAGGAUGGGGUGGCAUCUUUCUUCUGCUGGCCCGCUGCCCAUUCGCUAAAAGCUUGUAUCUGAAGAGAAAUGAAAAUAGGAACCUCCCUGCUCAACCUCCUGCUUGUGCUCAUGUAAGAAGAUACUUCUGUGAACCCAGAUGGUAGGGUCGGCCUCGGGAGUGGCUUCCACUGGGCAGCCCAGUCUCUGCCUCUCCCCUCCCCCACCCUUCUGCUCCCCCACCACCCCAUUU
This 1457-nucleotide long non-coding RNA is filed under the name Ovis aries (sheep). RNAcentral's name for it is "lncRNA (ENSOARG00000025254.1)". The record is from RNAcentral. Lineage: Eukaryota; Metazoa; Chordata; Mammalia; Artiodactyla; Bovidae.